GACGAACGCUGGCGGCGUGCUUAACACAUGCAAGUCGAACGGUGAUGCUCCAGCUUGCUGGAGUGGAUCAGUGGCGAACGGGUGAGUAACACGUGAGCAACCUGCCCCAGACUCUGGAAUAAGCGCUGGAAACGGCGUCUAAUACUGGAUACGAAACUGGCCCGCAUGGGCAUGGUUUGGAAAGUUUUUCGGUUUGGGAUGGGCUCGCGGCCUAUCAGCUUGUUGGUGAGGUAAUGGCUCACCAAGGCGACGACGGGUAGCCGGCCUGAGAGGGCGACCGGCCACACUGGGACUGAGACACGGCCCAGACUCCUACGGGAGGCAGCAGUGGGGAAUAUUGCACAAUGGGCGAAAGCCUGAUGCAGCGACGCCGCGUGAGGGAUGACGGCCUUCGGGUUGUAAACCUCUUUCAGCAGGGAAGAGGCGAAAGUGACGGUACCUGCAGAAGAAGCACCGGCUAACUACGUG
This 468-nucleotide ribosomal RNA is filed under the name uncultured bacterium. RNAcentral describes it as "partial 16S ribosomal RNA". It matches the Rfam family "Bacterial small subunit ribosomal RNA", at positions 28 to 507 of the family's 1533-position model. The record is from RNAcentral.